UGGUCCGGUAGUUCAGUUGGUUAGAAUGCCUGCCUGUCACGCAGGAGGUCGCGGGUUCGAGUCCCGUCCGGACCGCCAU
Molecule: transfer RNA, 79 nt
Filed under: Bacillus pumilus ATCC 7061
Lineage: Bacteria; Bacillati; Bacillota; Bacilli; Caryophanales; Bacillaceae
Description: tRNA-Asp
Rfam family: tRNA
About the family: Transfer RNA (tRNA) molecules are approximately 80 nucleotides in length.
Source: RNAcentral